This 253-nucleotide ribosomal RNA is filed under the name uncultured bacterium. RNAcentral describes it as "partial 16S ribosomal RNA". It matches the Rfam family "Bacterial small subunit ribosomal RNA", at positions 524 to 776 of the family's 1533-position model. The record is from RNAcentral.
UACGUAGGGCGCAAGCGUUGUCCGGAAUUAUUGGGCGUAAAGAGCUCGUAGGCGGCUUGUCACGUCGGGUGUGAAAGCCCGGGGCUUAACCCCGGGUCUGCAUCUGAUACGGGCAGGCUAGAGUGUGGUAGGGGAGAUCGGAAUUCCUGGUGUAGCGGUGAAAUGCGCAGAUAUCAGGAGGAACACCGGUGGCGAAGGCGGAUCUCUGGGCCAUUACUGACGCUGAGGAGCGAAAGCGUGGGGAGCGAACAGG